Molecule: long non-coding RNA, 226 nt
Filed under: Elaeis guineensis (African oil palm)
Lineage: Eukaryota; Viridiplantae; Streptophyta; Magnoliopsida; Arecales; Arecaceae
Description: long non-coding RNA (EGUI_LNC048537)
Source: RNAcentral
GGGGUGACAACACAUCAAGAGUCCAUGAUCUCUAGGACUCUUCAUCCCACCUCCUUACAUAUUGAAGUAAAAGGAGUUUUAUUUUAUUCUUGUGUGUGUAAGAGACCUGAGAGAGAGGCCUUCACGUUGAAAGGAGUUGGGCAUGGGUUCAUGGUGUGAAAAAGAAGAGGAGAAUCCUUCUUCUUAUGGUGUGCGCAAAAUCUAUUUUCUAGAGUUUUAUACCUUA